RNAcentral lists this ribosomal RNA (253 nucleotides) under uncultured bacterium. Its description in RNAcentral is "partial 16S ribosomal RNA". It matches the Rfam family "Bacterial small subunit ribosomal RNA", at positions 524 to 776 of the family's 1533-position model. The record is from RNAcentral.
UACGAAGGGGGCUAGCGUUGCUCGGAAUCACUGGGCGUAAAGGGCGCGUAGGCGGCCAUUCAAGUCGGGGGUGAAAGCCUGUGGCUCAACCACAGAAUUGCCUUCGAUACUGUUUGGCUUGAGUAUGGCAGAGGUUGGUGGAACUGCGAGUGUAGAGGUGAAAUUCGUAGAUAUUCGCAAGAACACCAGUGGCGAAGGCGGCCAACUGGGCCAUUACUGACGCUGAGGUGCGAGAGCGUGGGGAGCGAACCGG